UACGAAGGGUGCAAGCGUUACUCGGAAUUACUGGGCGUAAAGCGUGCGCAGGCGGUUUUGUAAGCCAGAUGUGAAAUCCCCGGGCUUAACCUGGGAAUGGCAUUUGGGACUGCAAGGCUGGAGUGCGGCAGAGGAGACUGGAAUUCCUGGUGUAGCAGUGAAAUGCGUAGAUAUCAGGAGGAACACCGAUGGCGAAGGCAGGUCUCUGGGCUGACACUGACGCUCAUGCACGAAAGCGUGGGGAGCAAACAGG
This 253-nucleotide ribosomal RNA is filed under the name uncultured bacterium. RNAcentral's name for it is "partial 16S ribosomal RNA". It matches the Rfam family "Bacterial small subunit ribosomal RNA", at positions 524 to 776 of the family's 1533-position model. The record is from RNAcentral.